This 495-nucleotide ribosomal RNA is filed under the name uncultured bacterium. RNAcentral's name for it is "partial 16S ribosomal RNA". It matches the Rfam family "Bacterial small subunit ribosomal RNA", at positions 28 to 507 of the family's 1533-position model. The record is from RNAcentral.
GAUGAACGCUGGCGGCGUGCCUAAUACAUGCAAGUCGAACGCUGAAGGAGGAGCUUGCUCUUCUGGAUGAGUUGCGAACGGGUGAGUAACGCGUAGGUAACCUGCCUGGUAGCGGGGGAUAACUAUUGGAAACGAUAGCUAAUACCGCAUGACAACAGUUAUUGCAUGAUAACUGUUUAAAAGGGGCAACUGCUCCACUACCAGAUGGACCUGCGUUGUAUUAGCUAGUUGGUGAGGUAACGGCUCACCAAGGCGACGAUACAUAGCCGACCUGAGAGGGUGAUCGGCCACACUGGGACUGAGACACGGCCCAGACUCCUACGGGAGGCAGCAGUAGGGAAUCUUCGGCAAUGGACGGAAGUCUGACCGGGCAACGCCGCGUGAGUGAAGAAGGUUUUCGGAUCGUAAAGCUCUGUUGUAAGAGAAGAACGAGCGUGAGAGUGGAAAGUUCACACUGUGACGGUAUCUUACCAGAAAGAGACGGCUAACUACGUG